UUAUGUAAUCUAAACAAAUCGUUCAAAUUAUCUCAAGUUACUUAAUAAUUUGCCGUUAUUUUUUCACUAUUUUAUGGUUUUACUUCCGAUGUCAUCUGUCUUUUGAGCUACUAAUUACAGUUUAUUAUGGAUAGAAGCUGUUGAAUAUUUGCUAAUUGAAUUUGAUCUUGAUUCUUGUUUGUUUACAAAAAUCCUGUGUAUCAUCAACAUAGCUUUUAUCAAAUUAACUUUGAAUAAACAAACUGGUGUAACCAUCUAAACUCGUUAAUAUUGGAAUCCAGGUUUGUUGAUGUGCAAAAGUGAUGAAAGGUGAAACUAAUAGUUAUUCCAGCUUGAAGAUGGGAAAUGCUAGCCUUCAUUUUUGGUCUCAAUCGGAGGCAACUUCCGCAGCAACAACAGCCCAAAAUGAGAGGAGAAAAGAUGACCAAGGAAGAUUGGAGAGAGAGAGAGAAGAAGAUAGAAAGAUCAAAACUAAACCAGUCCCGCAAAAUAUCGAUCAAAGCAGAGAGACAAGAGAAAUGCAAGUUGGAAAAGGCAAUGAUACAAGAACGGCUUGAGCCAUUUCCAAGCCACAAGGGAAACACGGACAAGUACAUGUUCAUGAAAAGAAAGUGUAACUAUAAACAUUGGUCAUUAGGGUUGUGGAAAAAUGGCCUGAUAUCAAUCAUAUUUGAAAUAAUAGAAGGCAAGGAAGCCAGUUAAGUUCUUAAGGUUCAUUUAUUGCUCUUGACCAUCUUUUGACCAUUUCUUUCUCUCUCUUUUUCAGUGCUACUUUUUCCAGCCCAUUCUAAUUGUGGACAAUGAAAAAUAUUUUCCAAGCCAAUAAUUGGUCUUCUAACCCUUUUUUUAUGUCUGCUGGUAACCAUUGUAUUAUGUAUAUAAUACAUUAUAAUAGUAAUAAUGAUGUGAUGUUUGCCGAUAACUUAAUAAUGAUUCAAGCUGAUGAUUAUAAUUUAAAAAUUGAAGCCGGACACUGGCCACACAAAUCUACACACGCAACCUCUAUUGAUGCAUAAAAGAGGAAGCACAUAAAACGGGAAAGAUUGUAAAUUAAAGAUGAAAUAGCUUAAAGGAUUACAAGGAUAAUUAUUACAUGAUGUCUCUGGAACUGUUAUCCAGGAAAUCCUGAUCCUCCAUCAAUCUUUUCUCAGCUUCUCUUCAAACAAUAAUCCAUAUUCUCAUAAAAACCAACAAUCAUUUAUUUGCCCCAAUCAGUGACUGGAAUCAUCGUGUUAGACUGCAUUGUCUAACUGUUUUAUAAAUCAAGUUUUCAAUCUUGAAUGGGACGAUAAAAUGGAUGGUAAAGAACGGUUCUUCAACAACAACAACAAAACAGAUUAGGAUUAUGAGGAUGAUGGUAAUGGUGUGAACAACGAUGGAAGAGGAUUAAAGAAAGGCUGUUCAUGCAAAGAGAAGGAUGAUGAAUAAGAGUAGGAUGAAUUUUACACGAACCAAAGUUCUGAAGUUAAAUUAAGUUAAUGAAAGGUGCAAAGGCCAAGCCUUAGACUUGAUCGGUACGGUUAAGCCUAAAACCCACGUAAACAACCCAUCAUCAUCAUUCUAAUAAUUAUAAUCACCCAAACAGCGUUUCAAUAUAUUGCAUCAAAAGCAUCAUUAUUCCCUGUUUAUUAUUUUGUCGUGUGUUCUUCUCAAUUCAAAUCAAAUGAAUCAUCGUCACCUAACCAUGCACCAUUCCAUUUGCAAGGCCACCAAAGAUUUUAUUUAUUUCUUUUUUUCCCUAUUUAAUGUGAAUUUCCGUUUUCUGAUGAAAUUUUUUGUAGAUCUCAAAUCCAUCCAUGCUCAUCAAAAUAUGUUUACCUGUUGUUUGCACCGAGUUACCGUCAAAAAGGCAAAGAAAAAACUUUUCAUGAAGGAGAAAAAUGAUAGUAAAAAAGCUUUAUUUUUAUGGUAAAGAACAAUGGAAAAACUUAAUGCCAAAGUAAUGAUUCAUACAAUUUGGAAGAGGAACCAGAUAAUCUUAAGAUGACUUAACUGAUGGUCACAUAAAUUGGUCAUAAAACCUGUAGGCACUGCAUGUCAAUAGGAAUCAACAAGAAGCCCGCAAAUAUUUAUAGAUUAUAUUAUCUAUUUUGAAAACAAAAACCAAUGUAGGCUAUCUCAAGAGGAUCAUAUAAAAGUAGAUGGUAAUCAAAAAAAAAGAGUAGGGAAGGCUGGAAACCCAGGCCCAUCCGAUUAAACCCUAGAAGAGGAGGACAAGAGGAUAAAUGAAGAAGGAUAAAGAUGAUCAGAGGAGAGGAGAGGAGGUGGAGAUGAGGAAAACAUUCACCUUGCAACUGGACAUUAAUCAUUCAAUGGUCCAUUCGAACCAAUGAAUAUCACCAUUAAUAUCAUUAUCAUUCCUUUCACCGUCAUUAUUAUAUCUACAUUAAUGUCCAUUCAUGUGGUAACCAAGCCAAAUACAGCCCACAUGAACCCUAAGAAGCAGAAGCCAAGACAAAGUAAAAUAGAGCUGAACGCGAGUUGCCCUUCAACAAAUAAAUAAGGUCAAAGUCUCAUUACUAUUAUUCAAGAGUGAAAAUAAUAGAUUUUUUCACUUGAUUUGUUUCAUUGAAUUUUGUCAAGAGAAACACUUGAAUAUAAUUAACUGUGUGAAAUUAAUAUCGAUUGGUGGACAGUUGGAUCAUUAUAGAGGGUCCAUCAUCAUCAUCAUCAUCAUUAAAUUAUACCAGGUUGACAGAUGAAUAGAGAGGUCAUAUUUAUCAAAAGAGAGUGGAGGAUCCAACCACUAUUUGCGUAUUAAUACGAGAGAAUCCAAAAAAAGAAUCAUUAGAUAAAAAAAGACCCCAGUUUGUCAUUACCUGGAUAACUAAUCAAACCAGAUCACAGAAGAAACAAAUUACCAAGAUUAAACUGUUUUCACCAAGCAAGGUUAUAAAUAUAUUUUAUCCAGUUAAUAUGCAUAAACCAUUUAUGUAAUCAAAGGAAUAGGCAGAACUGAUAUUACAAUACAUAAUAGUUAAUUUGGUUUACAAUUCUCAUCGCAUAUCCUUGAUAUCAUGAAGUGAAACCGAGAAACAAAACAAAUAAACUGAAUAUCUUAAACUGGAAUGGCAAUUGGUAAUGCUGUUGUCUAUGAAAGGUCAGAAAAAAUCAAGCAAAAAAAGGGAAACGGUCCAUUUCAAGUUAAAUUUCUCAGCCUGUAUGUAAACCAUGAUGAUCAACAUUAUCAUUAUCAUAAGUAGACUGUCCAGUACCAUGACUAUGUGAUAAAAAGAAAGGAAAGGAAAGGAAAAAACAAGAAUGAUAAAAGAUCGUGGAAAGUUGCCAUUCCAAAUGUGUAAUUCACCAUCUCUACCCAUGUGGCCUGUUAUAGAUGGAUAUUUUUCGCUGAAAAUUUGAUGAAAAAGAGUGAAUUGAGCAUCAAGGUUGAAACACAUGAGUUCAAAAAUUUCCAAAUAUUCACUAUUAAUAACUUUGCUGAAACUGGAAAGUGAAAGUUGAAA
Molecule: long non-coding RNA, 3464 nt
Organism: Tetranychus urticae (two-spotted spider mite)
Lineage: Eukaryota; Metazoa; Arthropoda; Arachnida; Trombidiformes; Tetranychidae
Source: RefSeq, a predicted model, not a curated record